GACGAACGCUGGCGGCGUGCCUAAUACAUGCAAGUAGAACGCAGUUUCGAACGGGUGAGUAACGCGUAGGUAACUGCCUCAUAGCGGGGGAUAACUCUUUGAAACGCUAGCUAAUACCGCAUACUGUGAGCUGGACCUGCGUUGGAUUAGGUAGUUGUUGGGGUAAACGGGCACCACAGCGACGAUACAUAGCCGACCUGGGAGGGUGAUCGGGCACAAUGGGACUGAGAAAAGGCCCAGACUCCUACGGGAGGCAGGAGUAGGGAAUCUGCGGAAAUGGACGGAAGGCUGAACGAGGAAAGCCUCGUGAGAUAAGGAGGUUUUCGGGUCGUAAAGCUCUGUUGUUAGAGAAGCGGUAACUAACCAGAAAGGGACGGCUAACUACGUGCCAGCAGCCGCGGUAAUAC
RNAcentral lists this ribosomal RNA (407 nucleotides) under uncultured bacterium. Its description in RNAcentral is "partial 16S ribosomal RNA". It matches the Rfam family "Bacterial small subunit ribosomal RNA", at positions 28 to 526 of the family's 1533-position model. The record is from RNAcentral.